This 253-nucleotide ribosomal RNA is filed under the name uncultured bacterium. RNAcentral's name for it is "partial 16S ribosomal RNA". It matches the Rfam family "Bacterial small subunit ribosomal RNA", at positions 524 to 776 of the family's 1533-position model. The record is from RNAcentral.
UACGUAGGGUGCGAGCGUUGUCCGGAAUUACUAGGCGUAAAGAGCUCGUAGGUGGUUUGUCGCGUUGUCCGUGAAAACUCACAGCUUAACUGUGGGCGUGCGGGCGAUACGGGCAGACUGGAGUACUGCAGGGGAGACUGGAAUUCCUGGUGUGGCGGUGGAAUGCGCAGAUAUCAGGAGGAACACCGGUGGCGAAGGCGGGUCUCUGGGCAGUAACUGACGCUGAGGAGCGAAAGCGUGGGGAGCGAACAGG